This 433-nucleotide ribosomal RNA is filed under the name uncultured bacterium. RNAcentral's name for it is "partial 16S ribosomal RNA". It matches the Rfam family "Bacterial small subunit ribosomal RNA", at positions 29 to 507 of the family's 1533-position model. The record is from RNAcentral.
AACGAACGCUGGCGGCAGGCCUAACACAUGCAAGUCGAGCGCGCCCUUCGGGGUGAGCGGCGGACGGGUGAGUAACGCGUGGGAACGUGCCCUUUUCUACGGAAUAGCCUCGGGAAACUGAGAGUAAUACCGUAUACGCCCUUUGGGGGAAAGAUUUAUCGGAAAAGGAUCGGCCCGCGUUGGAUUAGGUAGUUGGUGGGGUAAUGGCCUACCAAGCCGACGAUCCAUAGCUGGUUUGAGAGGAUGAUCAGCCACACUGGGACUGAGACACGGCCCAGACUCCUACGGGAGGCAGCAGUGGGGAAUCUUAGACAAUGGGGGCAACCCUGAUCUAGCCAUGCCGGGUGAGUGAUGAAGGCCUUAGGGUUGUAAAGCUCUUUCAGCUGGGAAGAUAAUGACGGUACCAGCAGAAGAAGCCCCGGCUAACUCCGUG